GAUGAACGCUGGCGGCGUGCCUAAUAUAUGCAAGUCGAGCGAACAGAUGAGGAGCUUGCUCCUCUGACGUUAGCGGCGGACGGGUGAGUAACACGUGGAUAACCUACCUAUAAGACUGGGAUAACUUCGGGAAACCGGAGCUAAUACCGGAUAAUAUAUUGAACCGCAUGGUUCAAUAGUGAAAGACGGUUUUGCUGUCACUUAUAGAUGGAUCCGCGCCGCAUUAGCUAGUUGGUAAGGUAACGGCUUACCAAGGCAACGAUGCGUAGCUGACCUGAGAGGGUGAUCGGCCACACUGGAACUGAGACACGGUCCAGACUCCUACGGGAGGCAGCAGUAGGGAAUCUUCCGCAAUGGGCGAAAGCCUGACGGAGCAACGCCGCGUGAGUGAUGAAGGUCUUCGGAUCGUAAAACUCUGUUAUUAGGGAAGAACAAAUGUGUAAGUAACUAUGCACGUCUUGACGGUACCUAAUCAGAAAGCCACGGCUAACUACGUG
This 497-nucleotide ribosomal RNA is filed under the name uncultured bacterium. RNAcentral's name for it is "partial 16S ribosomal RNA". It matches the Rfam family "Bacterial small subunit ribosomal RNA", at positions 28 to 507 of the family's 1533-position model. The record is from RNAcentral.